AGACAAGCCUCGCGCUUACUAUUACUGGAAAAUAGUUGGGCCGAAGUGGCCGGGAGGAUCGCGUUGGAAAAUUCGAUCGAGGGAAAUGGAUUUUUCACACGGUGAAAGUGGUGUACCGAGGCCCGAGGUCGGCCGGUUUCGACGGAAGGAAGGACGUUUUCCAAUUCGCCGAUUAUCCCGUGAAACAUGAUAUUUCGCGCGAUAUACUCAACAACCAUUUUUCCAUCGCCGUCGGGAAAACGAGCGACGUAAAAGGCUCUUCGACUUCGUAAAAUCUAAUGAGGGAAAGUCGAGAGAGACGAGAUAGAGAGAAAGGGGGAGGGAGAAAGAGAGAGAGAGAGAGAGAGCGCGUUCGAUCGAAUCGAAUUUGGAAGAAUUCGGUCGAGCUCGAUUCUCAGAAGUGCCACCGGUCGGAAAAUUUUGCAUCCCUCCCCUGGAUGAUCCAACGCCGCUGCAAUUUUCGCGAACAAUCGUCCCGGCGAUCGAACGGCGAUACACGAUCACCGGUUAAACGCGAUGAAAAUUCGGCGAUUGGAAACUCGUCGACGGGGGAUCCACCACCUUGGUGAUCCUCCAUGUGCCGCCACGUACGGAUGGAUCUCGAGAUAGAAAUUCGAUUAUCAUCUCUCUUGGAAUUGGGCACGCACCGUCGCCCACGCCUCUUGGAAACGCCACCAAGGGGGACUCACCAUCCCCUUAUGACCGAAUCAGCAAGGAAAUUGAAUUUUUCCGUAUCUCCGCCAUCGAUCUUUGCCGACUUAUCGUCCCGGAAAAAUGAGUCCCGAGGUAACGAGAGAGAGGAGUAACGAAAGGAAUUGUGUUUUCGAUGAUGAAGUGCGCGAGUCUGGUGGCCAUCCUCGACGAUUUACAGCAACGAUUAAACCGCGAAAAUAUUCCCUCCCCCUCCUUCCCACCUCAGCUCAGUAGCGCGUGAAUUUAUUAGAUUUCCAGCCCAAGUUUGCAAGAUUUACCGGUGGAAAUUCGUGCGCGUGGAAAUCGUUUCUUAACGAAUUCUGUGUGAUUUAUCGCCUUUCGUAUUAUAAUUUUCAAGGGGAGGUUGAAGGGGAAGGGCUCGGUCGAUCGACGGGUAAUUUAUUACGUGAUCCAAUUCCCUGAUCCCAAUGUCCUCGCCCAUCGGGGAGGGAGAGCCCACCGCCAUCCUGAAAUCGGUCCUCCUCGCCCCCUUGAACGAGAAGAAUCUCCUCGCCAAACUUUUCCAUCCCUCCCUCCAUCCCUCCAUUCUCGCAAAUCCCUCUCCCUUUUUUCUCUUCCAAACAAAAAAAAAAAAACCUUUCGUCGCGAAUCAUCGCGCACUCCUCGCUCGAUUCCUUUUCUCCGACGCGCUUCCUCCGAUUUUCCAUUUCCUUCGGCCCGGGCCCGACCGUCCCCCUCCUCCUCCCUUACAAUAAAGCUCGGACAAAGCUUUGUACAAACACGGACGGAUCGUAAAAUUAUCGAAUCGGGGUGUGCCGGUUCACCGCGCGAUCCGCAAUCGCAUUUAGACAGGUGGCCGCGUUAUGACACGGGCCAGGCCCGUUAAACCGCUUAAACCCUCGGCAUGGCGUGCCCCACACGUACAAAGGCACGUGGAAAAUUGGAUCGCGGCCGUAUGCUCGGAUCGUUAACAUAACUCGCACGUAUGCAACUCGCGCGCGUAUCUCGCCUGUUCCAAGGUGCAUCGGCCGUCGGAGGCGGCGAAGUUCGCGCGCGUCUCCACUUCUCCACUUCCCCCUUCUAAACUGGGGAAUAUCCUCUCCGAUUCUCGUUGUCCUCUCCACAAAGCCUUUUUUUCCGUUCGAGUCAUCGUCGCACCGAUCAUCAUCCGCUCCAUCCGAUACAACUUCACGACGUUUCAAAGUUCUCUCUCUUUACAAAGUUUUCUUGGAAAGGUUCCCCUUGCCAACAUCUCUCAAAAUCGAGUUUAUCUCUCCAAUUCUCCUUUUCACCCGCGAGAUUGGCGAAGAAUUGGUGAUCCUCCUAUCGUUCGCGUGAAGAGAUUAAAGUGCAGUUCCGCCUCUGAGUCCGUGCCCUGCACGGUCCCCUGCCGAGAUUUAAUCUUUUAUCGCGUCCCGAAAUCUCGCGCCGACACCUCGCCUUUGGCUGGCUGGGGUUGGGAAACGUCGUCUCACGUCCACGAAGAGAGAUCAUCGCGAGUGCUCGUGCGAGUGAAUUCCGCAUUUCGAUUCGAGUGAUACGAAGAAGAAGGAAAAUUUCUCUCCUUGUUAUUGUUGUGUGUGUGUGUGUGUAUGUGUGUGUGUGAAAGAAUAAAAAAGUUGGCACGAGCAGUGAUCGUGAUCGUAGAUCGAUAUGAGAUGAGUGAGCGAGGAACAAGUGAAGAAGGUGAAGGGAUGAUGCGAGCAGAAGGGUUGUGCGAUAAAAAAGAAAAAGGGAGAAAGAAUCGAGUAUAGACGAAAGAUACUCAGUGUUAGAGCUACUGCCCCACAGAAUCCACUGUAUUAUCCUUUAUCGGCUGAAAUAUGGACAGAGAGAGAGAAAUGUUUCGCGCAAGAGACGAAGACAGGGGAAUGCUUUGUGUCGCACGAAGUUUGGAAAGGUUUGAACACGUUACUGAAGUCCACUGUCUCGCGGGAGACCAGACGGGGAACGAGCAAAGAAUCGAACGUCGUUUAUUUUGUUCGAAAGAACGGCCAUCCCGGAUACCUGGAACGAUGAGAACAUUAAUCGGAAUGGAAGAUCCACGCGAAUCCAAGACAAUUGAGGAAGGAGAGAGACAAAGAGGGAAAGAUUUUCCGUGGCAAAUAUGGUUGGCAGGCAGGAUCGAAGGGUUGGGUGGGCAAGUUAGCUCGGUGUUACUUCAUCCGAGGAAAAGAGGAUCGAAGAAUUUCUCGGUGAACGGCGUUAGUCGAGGAAAAUAGGAUCCCCAGGAUCGUGGCUGACGAAAAAUUUGGUCGUCGCUUUACAGAUAUCGACAAGGGAGGAUUGGCCUAACGUCCAACCCCCGCCCGAACCCUGGCUGACACCUAUUAGGAUUGGUUUAACUGGAUCCUCCCACGAAUGCCGAAACGUUUAAGGCCAUCCAAAGAGUCCGCUAACCUUCGAGAAAAUCCCUUUGAAUCCCGAUGAAAUCUCGUCGGGUGUUCUGUUUCGGGAAGCCAAGGUUGAGCGAUUUUUCUUAAUGGAUGGUCAAAAAAAAAAACAAAUUUUAAUCCACUUUAAAUGUUCGUGUUCUCCAAUUUGCAUUCCUUCUGUUCCUCGAUUUUUAGAAGAGAUAAGCUCUUACUAAUUGACACCUGGAUGAAAGAACGGGAAGAAGAAUCGUCAUUUCGAUGAAUCCAAUGAUUUGAUUUUUACGGUUUUUAUUAUUGUUAUUAAAAUAUAUUCCUCAACGAAAUUCUUCUAUUCUGAUUUUCGCCAUUGAAACAAUUGUAGUAGAAUACCAUUUAUUUUUUAUCGGAUAAUUUUAUUUCCAUUUUUCUGUACGUAAAAAGGAAAUGACGUUUCUGGUAAUAGUAAUAGGAUCGAUUCAAUUAUAAAUAUUUUAAUUCGAUAUAGUUAUUAGACUUGAUUGAAAAUUGUUAACUUGAUUUUUUAUUGCGAAAGACAAUGUA
Long non-coding RNA from Apis laboriosa (Himalayan honeybee), 3569 nucleotides. RefSeq lists it as uncharacterized. Lineage: Eukaryota; Metazoa; Arthropoda; Insecta; Hymenoptera; Apidae. The record is from RefSeq and is a predicted model, not a curated record. The transcript has 3 exons.